CUGGAUUUGAUUCUGUUGCUGCUGGUACCAGCAGAAUUUUACUAAAAGACAGAACAAAACCAAAAAAAGGCAAAUAGUAGCAUCUAUGUUUUAGGAUUUGGUUUUUUGUUUAUUUGGUUUUUUUGAUGGGUAUGAGAAGAAAUGAGGUACGCUGAGGUAGGUGAAGGUGGAUGAGACAUGGUAGUGGAGCAGUAGGAAAGGGAACCUUCCUUCACUGAUGUUUACAGUACAAGAAGGUGAGAACAUCAACAGAUAUUUUGAUUUUUAAGGGCAAAUGAUGAUACUGACGGACAACAAAUGCUGCAAAGCAGAAACAGAUUCACUGGGAACUUGUCAGGCACAUGGACUAUUGAGCAUGAAGUCAGAGAUGCCAUCUGCUGUUCAGGUGAUGCAUAAGCCAUAUGCAGAAUGAGAAUUUAGGAUAUUGAUGAAAGCUUUGCUUUAUUCCUCGUGCUAGGUUUAGGCUUCUUCUGCAAACACGUGCAGGCUGCAGGGCUGGGUGCCUUUCUGAUCUUAGCCAUUCUGCUUCAUCCUUGAGGGAGUUAAAAUCUGCACACCUGCACACAUAUGCACACAUAUUCUGCAAGCACUCUGACCUGCUGUACAUGUUCCUGCUCAGUGCAGGGGAGUUGGACUAAGUGGCCCUUCAAGGUCCCUUCCAACUCUUAACAGUUCUGUGAUCUGAUGGUUGUAUGUACAUAAAAGUUUUGUGUAUAUAUAUGCUUGUGUAUGUUUCUAAGAUGAGUGUGCAUACUAUGUACCUUAAGCAUUGUAUGGGAACUGCUGAAUCACGGCCUGAACCUUUUAUUGAUCACCUGAGGCGAGCAAUGAAUCAGCCAUGGGAGCACAGGUGAAGGCAAUUCAGCUGUGUUGCUGGAAGGGGUGGAGCCUGGCUCCCUCUCUCCUAGACCUAUUUAAGAGCUGACUACCAGUGGAGAAGGAUCUCUUUCUGGAGAUCUGCUCCUUUGGAGUUUUAUAGUGAGCCCAGGACACAGCUUGAAGGAACAGUGAAUCCACAUCUGUGAAAUGCAGUAUUACGUGCAAAGCACAGGACAGGCAGCUUUUGUGGUGGGGGACAUUUUGAGAACUGAGUAACACAGACCCUGCUGUACUGCAAUAAAAGGGCAGCUGAAGGAAGGAGAAAGGUCAGUCUUGGAAAGGAAGAUACACAUUUGGAUGUGAUUUGAUGUGGCUUGUCCUCCAGACAGGACAGUGUACGUGCUACUAUGUAGAGCAGAAUCAAAGAAUUGCAGCAUCAGUUGAGUUGGAAGGGACCCUUAAAAGUCAACUAGUACAACUCCCCUGCAAUGAACAGGGAUGUCUACAGCAGAUCAGGGUGGAAUAUCCACUGCCUGGUAGGUCAAAGCUUCUUCCAGAAGCCAUCAGCUCUUGGAAUAUUUCAGAUGCUGCACAAAUGUGAGCAAGUAAAACAAGGAUGCCAGAAGCAUUAGUGUGGCAAGGGGAGGAAUGUAUUCUGUGUGCUACCUGCAGUCAGGUCACGACUUGUAGAGCAUGUUCAAGCAGCUCACUAUCACAGAAUCAAAGGAUGAUUUGGAGGAGCUUUAGACUGGACUUACAAUGUCACCCUCUUUUUCUUCCUAAGUAUAGUUUUAAAGCAGUCUUUAGCAAAGCCUUUAGCAGGCUCCCAGAAUUGGCCCAGCACAACAAACACAGACUUGUUGGUGUCUGUAUUACAGACAGCUGCCAUAAUCAGUGUAUGAAUUAACAGUGCUCCUUCAGACAGCUGCAUCAUUGUUAUCCUGGGGCCGUCUGGACUGAACCUUCCAUAUCUAACCCGAAGUCAUCUACAAGCCUACAGAUUCAUUCUCCUGACACAACUGUGUUAGAAGUGCUGCCCAAGGACCUGUUGCACACGCAGGUGACAGCCCCUGUGUGACCCAGUGGUGCCUUACCAGAGCUGAUGACUGCAGUGUGCUCACCACACACCUGAAGAGCCAGCAGUCCUACACAUUCCUUUGUCCUGAACACUACAGGCAAUGACAACACCACAUGACAACUGGACUUCUUGAAAUCCUUCUAAAUACAUUUUUUUAUACCUUUAUAUAUUUUUACGUGUUCUUAAGACCACACAAGUUCUUCGUAGUAAGUAAAUUCAUCAUAUUUCUACCCUUCCUCUUCAGACAUUUGUGCAGUCUACUUCUUUUGUUCAUAGUUAAGACAUCAUUAUAAUAGGGACAAGAAGCCUACCCUGCCCUUCAUGUCAUUUGACAAGUGUCAGAGGAAUCUGAAGAUGUUAUGAUUUGCCUUGCUGGUGCUUAACAGAACCUAAAUGUUAAUAGGAAGAGCGUUGGAUGCAGCAGACAGGUUCUUGAACAGCACUUCAAGCUCAUCAUCUCAAAGCCGAGUAAAGAUAAUUCAAAGUUUUUUUUCCUGUCUCCAUGCUCCAUUCUGCUCCCAUAACAGCAAACACUUCUAACCAAAUUUGAGUAAAUAAUAGCUGGGAUAUGACAUAUAAAUGAUUCACAGGAACAGAAUUACAGAAAUCACCAGGUUUUAACAGAUAUGAGUGGAUCGGGUGCUGUCAGUGUUCCUGUCCAAUGGUUCCCUGCCAAAACUUUCUCUGCACUGCUCAUACUGAUGGCCUACAAUGAUAACCAAAAGCCCCACCAGCUGGUGUUUGCACUGCUCUUUGGGUGCUCAUCUCUGCUGCUUCACCUUAACUACCCAUGGACUGUGGAGACCAGUAAGAGGAAAGCAUAGAAAACAGAAGGGUCCUCAGUAGAGGGAUGUGCUCAUAAGCAGUGUUUUCCUCCAAGAUGACUUGGCUGUUGUCUGCUUAUGUUAAUGGUGGAGCGGACGCAAGGCUCUGUAUGGGCACCUGGCAGUAACAUGCUGACACAGGUCCUUGGGAUGAGAAUAGAGUUAAAUGAGGCCCUUCAGCUUCAACAGGGUGGAAAAUCCUGUGUGUGUGUGUGUGUGUGUGUGUGUGUGUGCGCGCGCUCCUAAAGCCUGUUUUUCCCCUCUCACACAUGCUCUUGUUCUCUGUGUCUGUUUUGGCUGCCUUGCUAGCCGCUUUGUCAUUGUGUCACUAGGUGUGAAGCAAAGAUUAAGGGUUUUUUUUGUUGUUCUUUUGCUGAAGUGUCUGGACAAUGUGAAUCUGCUUCUGCCAAGAUACUGCAAGUACUGCAGUGACAGAAAGGAUAACCCAUCAGAAAGAGUGGGAAGGAAAGGCGAUCAGCACUACUGGCACUUCUUUCUGCCAAAUGGGCAGCAGCAGCGUCAGCAGUCCCACAGAGCCAAGUUUGCAUUUUCUGCAUGUCCUGGGCACUGCAGUGUUGUUAGUCUCCAUGCUGCUUUAGCAGAAAACCUGCUCCUUGUCUCUAAGGAAGCCAAAGCAUCUCAGCUUCAGUGGCUGGUUCAGUGCCCACAUACUCCUUGGGGCUCCUGUGCUCAGUCUUACAAAUCACAUCCCCUAUCCCUGAUUGUACUGCACUGCUCAUUUGUAGCAUUCAGUACUUCUGCAAAUUGCAUCUCAAGUCCAAAAGCUUGUGACUCCGCCAACCUUCAACAGAGCUAUCAGUUGAAGAUAAUGCCAAUGUAAUUUUAUCCCCCUCCAAAAAAAAAGAAAAGA
Long non-coding RNA from Tympanuchus pallidicinctus (lesser prairie-chicken), 3592 nucleotides. RefSeq lists it as uncharacterized. The transcript is spliced from 2 exons. The record is from RefSeq and is a predicted model, not a curated record. Lineage: Eukaryota; Metazoa; Chordata; Aves; Galliformes; Phasianidae.